ACCAUCCUUUCCUUGGGGUUGGGCUACUGUCCAAUGAGCACAUAGUGAGGGCAGUGCUGCUAACACCUACACAAAAUUCCUGCAUCAGCUACAGCUUUGCUUUACCUUGCCACGGUUUCUGGACAA
Molecule: non-coding RNA, 126 nt
Filed under: Cercocebus atys (sooty mangabey)
Lineage: Eukaryota; Metazoa; Chordata; Mammalia; Primates; Cercopithecidae
Description: U4atac minor spliceosomal RNA (ENSCATG00000019044.1)
Rfam family: U4atac minor spliceosomal RNA
About the family: U4atac is an essential component of the minor U12-type spliceosome complex which is required for removal of the rarer class of eukaryotic introns (AT-AC, U12-type). These interacting stem loops have been shown to be required for in vivo splicing.
Source: Rfam by way of RNAcentral